Molecule: small RNA, 3777 nt
Filed under: Pan troglodytes (chimpanzee)
Lineage: Eukaryota; Metazoa; Chordata; Mammalia; Primates; Hominidae
Description: retained intron
Source: RNAcentral
CCUUUUGUGGGAGUCCGGUCUGUCCACUUGCCGGUCCCUCAGACCGUCGGCGGUCUCUGUCCGCUUCGGGACCUGUCCGCUGGUCGCUCCGCGUCCGAUGGCUCCGGGCCGCGGAACCUUAGGCCUGGCCCUGGUCUCCGAGCGCGGGUUCGCCGGGAGGAGCGUGUGGCGGGGUGUGCCGGGGCGUGAGUGCGCCGGGCAUGGGGCUGAGCCUGGUGUGGGGAGUGGGUAUCUGCGGAGCCGGCCUGAACCCCACCUCAGCCGGGCGCGGGGAGGGGGCUCCGUGCGUGUGAUCGUGCAGCUGUGAGCGCGUGGCCGCCCCGCGGGGCUCCGCUGCAGGCCCCUCAGCCCCAGGAGCAGGACUCGCUCUUCAGGGCCUGCCCUGGAUCCUGGAGGCUACACAGCUGCCCACUCCUCCCGGGGAGGCUGCCGUGGAGGCCAUGGAGAUCCCUGUCCCGGAGCCCGAGAAGACAGGUACAGCUUCACUCUUGUAGUCAGUAUGUCUGUGGAUUUGCACUUGAGGAUAUUGACACUCAGAGAGAUCAGGCCAGUUUCCCAGAAGCAUCCAGCAUCUUUUUUUUUUUUUUUUUUUAAUGGACUCUCACUCUGUCAGCCAGGCGGGAGUGCAAUGGCUUGAUCUCCGCUCACUGCAACCUCUGCUUCCCGGGUUCAAACUAUUCUCCCGCCUCAACCUCCCAAGUAGUUGGGAUUGCAGGCGCGCGCCACCACGCCCGGCUAAUGUUUGUAUUUUUAGUAGAGACGGGGUUUUGCCAUGUUUCCCAGGCUGGUCUUAAGCUCAAGCGAUCCGCCCGCCUCGGCCUCCCAAAGUGCUGGGAUUACAGGCGUGAGCCAUCGCUCCUGGCCUCCUGCUUCUUUCUUCCCCGUGCCCAAUCAUUUGUUCCCACUCAGACGUGCUUGAUUGGGGGUAGCAGCUCUUUUCGUCAUGAAUUGGAGUGUCUGAGACACAGGCAGAUUAUUCCUCGAUGCUGUUUCUGUUGGGGCUAGCUACUGGGGCUCGUUCCCCACCUGGCCUUGCUGGCAGGUUCUGCCUCCUCUCUGAUUCUCACUUGUGCCACGACAGGUGGGCUUUAAGCUCAGCCGUGAGCCUGGUAGCCGUGACCUUGACUCAUUUCUCCUUCCCCAGCUCUUUCCUCUCAGGAUCCUGCUCUUUCCCUGAAAGAGAAUCUCGAGGAUAUAUCGGGUUGGGGUCUUCCCGAAGCCAGGUCCAAGGAAUCGGUGAGUUUCAAGGAUGUGGCUGUGGACUUCACCCAGGAGGAGUGGGGUCAACUAGACUCCCCUCAGAGGGCCUUGUACCGGGAUGUGAUGUUGGAGAACUACCAGAACCUUCUUGCCCUAGGACCUCCACUGCACAAGCCAGAUGUGAUCUCUCAUCUGGAACGAGGCGAGGAGCCAUGGAGCAUGCAGAGGGAAGUCCCCAGAGGGCCCUGUCCAGAAUGGGAGCUGAAGGCGGUGCCCUCUCAACAGCAGGGCAUUUGCAAAGAAGAACCGGCCCAGGAGCCCAUCAUGGAGCGGCCCCUCGGCGGGGCGCAGGCGUGGGGGCGCCAGGCAGGUGCUCUGCAGAGGAGUCAGGCUGCGCCCUGGGCGCCCGCACCUGCCAUGGUCUGGGACGUCCCUGUAGAGGAAUUCCCCCUCAUGUGUCCCCUCUUCGCCCAGCAACGCGUUCCCGAGGGGGGACCCCUUGCUGGACACACGCAAGAACGUCCAGGCCACUGAGGGCAGAACCAAGGCCCCCGCGAGGACUGUGUGCAGGGGAAAACGCCUCCACGCCAAGUGAGCCAGAAAAGUUCCCCCAGGUGCGCCGGCAGCGCGGGGCGGGCGCCGGGAGGGCGAGUUCGUGUGCGGCGAGUGCGGGAAGGCGUUCCGCCAGAGCUCCUCCCUCAGCUGCACCGGCGCUGGCACAGCCGGGAGAAGGCUUACAAGUGCGAUGAAUGCGGCAAGGCCUUCACCCUGGAGCACCAACCUUCUGGAGCACCGGCGCAUCCACACCGGCGAGAAGCCCCUUCUUCUGCGGGCGAGUGCGGGAAGGCCUUCAGCUGCCACUCGUCCCUCAACGUGCACCAGCGCAUCCACACGGGCGAGCGGCCCUACAAGUGCAGCGCCUGCGAGAAGGCCUUCAGCUGCAGGCUCGCUGCUCAGCAUGCACCUGCGGUGCACACGCGCGAGAAGCCCUACCCGCGUGCGGCGAGUGCGGCAAGCCUUCAACCAGCGUACAACACUCACACGCCACCAUCCGCAUCCACACGGCGAGAAGCCCUACCAGUGCGGCUCCUGCUGCAAGGCCUUCACCUGCCACUCAUCCCUCACCCGUGCAUGAGAAGAUCCACAGCGGGGACAAAGCCGUUCAAGUGCAGCGACUGCGAGAAGGCCUUCAACAGCCGCUCGCGCCCUCACCCUCCCACCAGAGGACGCAACACGGGCGAGAAGCCCUUCAAGUGCGCCGACUGCGGAAGGGCUCAGCUGCCACGCGUACCUGCUCGUGCACCGGCGCAUCCACAGCGGCGAGAAGCCCUUCAAGUGCAACGAGUGCGGCAAAGGCCUUCACUCCCACGCCUACCUCAUCGUGGCACCGGCGCAUCCACCAAAGCGAGAAGCCCUUCGACUGCAGCCAGUGUUGGAAGGCCUUCAGCUGCCACUCGUCCCUCAUCGUGCACCAGCGCAUCCACACCGGUGAGAAGCCCUACAAGUGCAAGUGAGUGCGGCAGAGCCUUCAGCCAGAACCACUGUCUCAUUAAACAUCAGAAAAAUCCACCCGGGGAGAAGUCGUUUAAGUGUGGAGAAAUGUGGGGAGAUGUUCAACUGGAGCUCGCACCUCACUGAGCACCAGAGGCUGCACAGCCGAGGGGACGCCCUGCCAUCCAGUUCAACAAACACCUGCUUCAGACACAUACUACGUGCCUGGCAGCCUGCUGGGUGCAGGGGAUCUACUGGACUGAGGACGUGGGAUCCCAUCGACGCGUGGAUAGUGGGGCAAAGCUCUUGUGCGUUGGUUCCCCCCCGAGCUGGCAGGAUUUCUCCCUGGGGAAGCAAACCUCGAAAUAAUUAACAUUGAUGUGCUCUUGGUGUCAGUAGCACACUUCUCUGAGCUACUCAACCAAGAAGGCACCCUGAUCCUCCCUGGCUCCUAGAUCCAGACCCACCUUCCUUCCAGGUUGAGCCUUGCCCUUAUCACCCCAAUCAGGUCUGCAUGCCGGGUGCCUCCUCUAGUUAAAGUCGGUCACCUCCCCAGAAGGGCCACACUCCAGGAGGAGUGUUGAGAGUCAUGUGAGAUAGUCUUGCCACCUGUUUUCCUUGAUGGGCCUGGAAGUUGUUGACAAGGGGAAAGAUCUUUCUUGCCAAUAGAAAGAAGGGAUAGCGUUGGGUGCCAUGGCUCACACCUGUAAUCUUAACACUGUGGGAGGCCAAGGCAAGGGGAUCACUUGAGCCCAGGAGUCUAGGACCAGCCUGGACAACAUGGUGAGACCUCGUCUCUACAAAAAAUGCAAAAAUUAGCCAGAUGUGGGCAUGUCCCUGUGGUCCCAGCUACUCAGGAGGCUGAGGUGGGAGGAUCAUUUGAGCCUAGGAGGUCAAGGCUGCAGUGAGCCAUGAUUCACAGCACUGCACUGCAGCCUGGGUGACAAAGCAAGACCCUGUGUGAAAUUAAAAGGAGGUAUAUCAACUGUUGUAUCCUCAGACGGGCUCCUGACAUGGCUUUAAUCGGGAGUUUCCUCCAUAAACUAUUAUUUUCAGAAUAAUAAUAAAAUAAGAAUUAUGACUAGC